CCUACGGGGGGCUGCAGUGGGGAAUAUUGGACAAUGGGCGAAAGCCUGAUCCAGUCAUGCCGCGUGUGUGAAGAAGGCCUUCGGGUUGUAAAGCACUUUCAGUGGGGAAGAAAGCCUUGGGGCUAAUACCCUCGAGGAAGGACAUCACCCACAGAAGAAGCACCGGCUAACUCCGUGCCAGCAGCCGCGGUAAUACGGAGGGUGCGAGCGUUAAUCGGAAUUACUGGGCGUAAAGCGCGCGUAGGCGGUCUGAUAAGCCGGUUGUGAAAGCCCCGGGCUCAACCUGGGAACGGCAUCCGGAACUGUCAGGAUAGAGUGCAGGAGAGGAAGGUAGAAUUCCCGGUGUAGCGGUGAAAUGCGUAGAGAUCGGGAGGAAUACCAGUGGCGAAGGCGGCCUUCUGGACUGACACUGACGCUGAGGUGCGAAAGCGUGGGUAGCAAACAGGAUUAGAUACCCGGGUAGUC
RNAcentral lists this ribosomal RNA (465 nucleotides) under Vreelandella stevensii. Its description in RNAcentral is "partial 16S ribosomal RNA". It matches the Rfam family "Bacterial small subunit ribosomal RNA", at positions 338 to 795 of the family's 1533-position model. The record is from RNAcentral. Lineage: Bacteria; Pseudomonadati; Pseudomonadota; Gammaproteobacteria; Oceanospirillales; Halomonadaceae.